GAUGAAGAACGUAGCGAAAUGCGAUAAGUAAUGUGAAUUGCAGAAUUCCGUGAAUCAUCGGAUCUUUGAACGCACAUUGCGCCCUCUGGUAUUCCGGGGGGCAUGCCUGUCCGAGCGUCAUUUGCAACCCUCAAGCCCGGCUUGUGUGAUGGGUGCCGUCCCCUACGGGACGCGCCCCGAAGGCAAUGGCGGCGUCGCGGUUAUCCGAUCAGCCAAAGUGUAUGGGGCUUUGUCACUCACUUUACGGCCCGGACCGGCGCCAGUCCGAAUCAAUCUUUUUUCUAAAGUUGACCUCGGAUCGGGUAGGGAUACCCGCUGAACUUAAGCAUAUCAAUAAGCGGAGGA
This 345-nucleotide unclassified non-coding RNA is filed under the name soil metagenome. RNAcentral describes it as "partial contains 5.8S ribosomal RNA, internal transcribed spacer 2, and large subunit ribosomal RNA". The stretch from base 1 to 120 matches the Rfam family "5.8S ribosomal RNA", at positions 35 to 154 of the family's 154-position model. The record is from RNAcentral.